Molecule: ribosomal RNA, 424 nt
Filed under: uncultured bacterium
Lineage: Bacteria
Description: bacterial SSU rRNA
Rfam family: Bacterial small subunit ribosomal RNA
Source: RNAcentral
GGAAUUUUGGACAAUGGGCGAAAGCCUGAUCCAGCAAUGCCGCGUGCAGGAAGAAGGCCUUCGGGUUGUAAACUGCUUUUGUACGGAACGAAAAGGUCCUUUCUAAUAAAGAGGGCCUAUGACGGUACCGUAAGAAUAAGCACCGGCUAACUACGUGCCAGCAGCCGCGGUAAUACGUAGGGUGCGAGCGUUAAUCGGAAUUACUGGGCGUAAAGCGUGCGCAGGCGGUUCUAUAAGACAGAUGUGAAAUCCCCGGGCUCAACCUGGGAAUGGCAUUUGUGACUGUAGAGCUAGAGUACGGUAGAGGGGGAUGGAAUUCCGCGUGUAGCAGUGAAAUGCGUAGAUAUGCGGAGGAACACCGAUGGCGAAGGCAAUCCCCUGGACCUGUACUGACGCUCAUGCACGAAAGCGUGGGGAGCAAACA